This 207-nucleotide ribosomal RNA is filed under the name uncultured bacterium. RNAcentral's name for it is "partial 16S ribosomal RNA". It matches the Rfam family "Bacterial small subunit ribosomal RNA", at positions 568 to 774 of the family's 1533-position model. The record is from RNAcentral.
CACGUAGGCGGUUUGUUAAGCGAGAUGUGAAAGCCCCGGGCUUAACCUGGGAACUGCAUUUCGAACUGGCAGGCUAGAGUAUGAUAGAGGAGUGUGGAAUUUCCGGUGUAGCGGUGAAAUGCGUAGAGAUCGGAAGGAACAUCAGUGGCGAAGGCGGCACUCUGGAUUAAUACUGACGCUGAGGUGCGAAAGCGUGGGGAGCAAACA